Molecule: non-coding RNA, 2156 nt
Organism: Camelina sativa (false flax)
Lineage: Eukaryota; Viridiplantae; Streptophyta; Magnoliopsida; Brassicales; Brassicaceae
Source: RefSeq, a predicted model, not a curated record
CAUGGAAGAGAAAAGUGGAGAAACGUGAAAAAUAGAUUGAGACAAAGAGAGAGAGAGAGAGAGAGAAAGAGAGAUGCAAUAAUUGUGAAACCUUCUCUUUUCUCGUGGCAAGCACUUUGGUCUUAGAUCUUGACUAACUCGACAACCCUUUAGAGAAAGAAAGAAAGAAACAGAGCAAGCACGCGAGAUACAACCUAUGUCGUCGUCUCUGCUUCUCAGCCUCUCUUCCAAGACCUCUCUCCCCAAACUUGCUCUGAGAUGCCACACCCUUCGGAUGUUCUCCUCCUCCUCCUCCUCCUCCACCAACCCGUUAUUGAUGUAUAGUGUCAUACAUUAUGGAAAGUCUGUGGAUGAUAUUGAUGUAAAAACCGCUAUACACUAUUUUGACCCGGUCAAGGAAGAUGAAGUUAUUGUCCGAGACAAGGCCUUUCCCAUGGAGUUGCGUAAGACGAGUCUGGUUGGAAUGUCCCAUGGAUGGGGAGUUUUCAACGUGGAGACUGGUGAUUUUAGACAUAAAGCUGUUUACGUUAGCGACUACUACCAUCCUUGUGGCUCCAAAUCAAAUCCCAAAAUCAUCCCUUUGCAUCCCAUGGGUAAACCUAAUAUUACCCAAUUCCGCCUCAUCACUAACGCUGCAAUGAGUUGUUCACCUGAUCAAAAUAAAGAGUUUGUACUAGCUGCCAAUUGUUUAGGACUUGAGAUCCAUUUCUUUAGCUCUGGUGGCGGCAAAACCGACAACUACUCGGGGUUAGGUUUUAGAACCGAAUCCCACUAUUUUGAUCAAUCAAAGGUCAUGUAUUCAAAGAGAGAUAAUAAGUUCUACACUCCUAGUGUUGGGGGCCACUUCUUGGGUUUCUGGGAUUCUUGCUUCGAGGAUUUGACUAGCUCCGAGAUGCAUGAGUUGCGGUUUUGCAACCUUCCUGAGGUGACCCAGUCGGAGUGGGAGCUCUUGGACUCAUGUUCCCCGCCGACUGCACACCUUGUUGAGUCUCCCUCAGGACAGCGUUUCCUAAUCAUGUGGUACGCUCAGGACUACAAACCGGGCAAGAAGAUGACAUUCUUGUGUCGCGGAACAAAGCGUUUCAUGGUUUUUAGAGAGGAGGAAGGUAUGAACAUGUGUUACACAGAGGACAUUGGAGAUCUCUGCAUAUUCCUCGGCAGAAGUGAGCCCUUCUGUCUCAAGGCAAGCUCAUUCCCUGGCCUAAACCCUAACUCCAUCUAUUUUGCUGGCGACGGCUUUGGUGUGUACGAUAUCACCACUAGAAAACCUCGUUCCUUCCGUCCCAAGUCUCCCUCAGCCUUCUCCACAACACCACUCUUCCCUUACUGGAUCCCUCCAAUGUGUCUCUAAUUUACUAUAUAUGCAUGCUCUCUGAAAAGUUAUGCAAGCGUUUCUCUUCUUUCAAAUAUGAUGGUUUAUACAUCAUUCUGCUGCACUGAUUAAACAAGCACAGUCGGCAACUCCAUCAACCAGAUGAAACGCAAAUAUAGGAUCUGCAGGGUCUUUGUAUUUGCUACUCAGAAUUGCAACACAUACCGGGAGAAUGUGAGAAGAUGAGUCACUCUGUUCUUCUUGAGCUAAGCUUCGUGAUGUUCCAGGCUGUGAUAAUGUAUCAGCAAACUGACAAGAGCUAGUAUCCAAGGAGGAUCCCCUCUCGUUUUCUCCAUUCAAACUUAUUGGUGCUCGUUUGCGGCAAUACAAGCUGCUGAAACUCAGAUAAUUAGAGCGCAGAGAGAGCUCAAACUUCAUACAUUCUAGCUUCCCUACAUUAAUCAGGAAACUCCAGCAUCCAGUAGUUGUGGAUCUCUCUGUGAAAAAAAAGAAGAAAAGGUCUAUGAGCAAAACUCGUAUGGAUAAGGUCAGGUGAACUGUAUUUGACAAGUAGCAGGCGCUUGUUGAUAGACAAAGUUUGCUUUCUUGGGCUUGAGAUCCUCCAUUUUCCUGCAAACAUCUGUGUUAACAAGAAGCAAAUAUUCAUGGUUAAGAUUAAGGAGAAGACACAGCAUGGCCACAGUAGUGAAGUCUUUUGCUCGGUCGUGAAUCUACCAGAUACUAAAUGUGGGAGAGAGUCAUCAGAAUGGAACCCAGAUAAGCGUAAUAAACCAUGCAGUGACCAUCUUGUUAGGUUCUUAUGGGGUUUUCUGUGUUUGAAUGU